This 301-nucleotide ribosomal RNA is filed under the name uncultured bacterium. RNAcentral's name for it is "partial 16S ribosomal RNA". It matches the Rfam family "Bacterial small subunit ribosomal RNA", at positions 509 to 807 of the family's 1533-position model. The record is from RNAcentral.
CAGUCGCCACGGGAAUACGAAGGGGGCUAGCGUUGUUCGGAUUUACUGGGCGUAAAGGGCGCGUAGGCGGACUGAUAAGUCAGGGGUGAAAUCCCAAGGCUCAACCUUGGAACUGCCUUUGAUACUGUUUGUCUUGAGUUCGAGAGAGGUAAGUGGAACUGCGAGUGUAGAGGUGAAAUUCGCAGAUAUUCGCAAGAACACCAGUGGCGAAGGCGGCUUACUGGCUCGAAACUGACGCUGAGGCGCGAAAGCGUGGGGAGCAAACAGGAUUAGAUACCCGUGUAGUCCCUGUCUCUUAUAC